CCUACGGGUGGCAGCAGUGAGGAAUAUUGGUCAAUGGGCUUACGCCUGAACCAGCCAAGUCGCGUGAGGGAAGACUGCCCUAUGGGUUGUAAACCUCUUUUGUCAGGGAGCAACGCCGGCCACGUGUAGCCUGACUGAGAGUACCUGAAGAAAAAGCAUCGGCUAACUCCGGCCCAGCAGCCGCGGUAAUACGGAGGAUGAGAGCGUUAUCCGGAUUUAUUGGGUUUAAGGGGUGCGUAGGCGGAAUGACAAUUCAGGGGUAAAAUUGCGGGCCUCAACCUAGAUUGGAAGUGGAAACUGGAGUUGUUGAGAGGGCGAGAAGUAGGCGGAAUGCGGGGGG
This 340-nucleotide ribosomal RNA is filed under the name uncultured bacterium. RNAcentral describes it as "partial 16S ribosomal RNA". It matches the Rfam family "Bacterial small subunit ribosomal RNA", at positions 338 to 675 of the family's 1533-position model. The record is from RNAcentral.